GACGAACGCUGGCGGCGCGCCUAACACAUGCAAGUCGAGCGAUGAAAUUUUAACCGAUCUCUUCGGAGAGAAGAUAAAAUGGAUUAGCGGCGGACGGGUGAGUAACACGUGAGAAACCUGCCUUUCACAAGGGGAUAGCCUCGGGAAACCGGGAUUAAUACCCUAUGACACAUUUCCUUCGCAUGGAAGAAAUGUUAAAACUCCGGUGGUGAAAGAUGGUCUCGCGCCUGAUUAGCUAGUUGGUGGGGUAACGGCCCACCAAGGCCAUGAUCAGUAACCGGCCUGAGAAGGUGAACGGUCACAUUGGAACUGAGGCACGGUCCAAACUCCUACGGGAGGCAGCAGUGGGGAAUAUUGCACAAUGGAGGAAACUCUGAUGCAGCGACGCCGCGUGAGCGAUGAAGGCUUUCGAGUCGUAAAGCUCUGUCCUAUGGGAAGAUAAUGACGGUACCAUAGGAGGAAGCCCCGGCUAACUACGUG
Molecule: ribosomal RNA, 480 nt
Filed under: uncultured bacterium
Lineage: Bacteria
Description: partial 16S ribosomal RNA
Rfam family: Bacterial small subunit ribosomal RNA
Source: RNAcentral